Arvicola amphibius (Eurasian water vole) is the source of this 111-nucleotide small nuclear RNA. NCBI's taxonomy places the organism in Eukaryota, Metazoa, Chordata, Mammalia, Rodentia, Cricetidae. The record is from RefSeq and is a predicted model, not a curated record.
GUGCUUGCUUCAGCAGCGCAUAGACCAGAAUUAUAACGAUACAGAGAAGAUUAAUUAGCAUGGUCCCUGCACAAGGAUGACAUGCAAAUUUAUGAUGUGUUCUGUAUUGAA